UACGUAGGUGGCGAGCGUUGUCCGGAAUGACUGGGCGUAAAGGGCGUGUAGGUGGACUGAUCAGUCGGAUGGGAAAGCCCCAGGCUUAACCUGGGAACCGCAUCCGAUACGGUCAGUCUUGAGUGCGGGAGAGGGCAGUGGAAUUCCCAGUGUAGCGGUGAAAUGCGUAGAGAUUGGGAGGAACACCAGUGGCGAAGGCGGCUGCCUGGACCGUAACUGACACUGAGGCGCGAAAGCGUGGGGAGCAAACAGG
RNAcentral lists this ribosomal RNA (253 nucleotides) under uncultured bacterium. RNAcentral's name for it is "partial 16S ribosomal RNA". It matches the Rfam family "Bacterial small subunit ribosomal RNA", at positions 524 to 776 of the family's 1533-position model. The record is from RNAcentral.